ACGGAGAGUUUGAUCCUGGCUCAGGAUGAACGCUGGCGGUAUGCUUAACACAUGCAAGUCGAACGGGAUGCUUAGGCAUCUAGUGGCGGACGGGUGAGUAACGCGUGAGAAUCUGGCUCCAGGUCGGGGAUAACAGUUGGAAACGACUGCUAAUACCGGAUGUGCCGAAAGGUGAAAGAUUUAUUGCCUGGAGAUGAGCUCGCGUCUGAUUAGCUAGUUGGUGGUGUAAGGGACCACCAAGGCAUCGAUCAGUAGCUGGUCUGAGAGGAUGAUCAGCCACACUGGGACUGAGACACGGCCCAGACUCCUACGGGAGGCAGCAGUGGGGAAUUUUCCGCAAUGGGCGAAAGCCUGACGGAGCAAUACCGCGUGAGGGAGGAAGGCUCUUGGGUCGUAAACCUCUUUUCUCAAGGAAGAAGAAAGUGACGGUACUUGAGGAAUAAGCAUCGGCUAACUCCGUGCCAGCAGCCGCGGUAAUACGGAGGAUGCAAGCGUUAUCCGGAAUGAUUGGGCGUAAAGGGUCUGCAGGUGGAACUGAAAGUCUGCUGUUAAAGAGUUUGGCUUAACCAAAUAAAAGCGGUGGAAACUACAGAACUAGAGUGUGGUAGGGGCAAAAGGAAUUCCUGGUGUAGCGGUGAAAUGCGUAGAUAUCAGGAAGAACACCGGUGGCGAAAGCGUUUUGCUAGACCAUAACUGACACUGAGGGACGAAAGCUAGGGGAGCGAAUGGGAUUAGAUACCCCAGUAGUCCUAGCCGUAAACGAUGGAUACUAGGCGUGGCUUGUAUCGACCCGAGCCGUGCCGGAGCUAACGCGUUAAGUAUCCCGCCUGGGGAGUACGCACGCAAGUGUGAAACUCAAAGGAAUUGACGGGGGCCCGCACAAGCGGUGGAGUAUGUGGUUUAAUUCGAUGCAACGCGAAGAACCUUACCAAGACUUGACAUCCUGCGAAUCCUGGUGAAAGCUGGGAGUGCCUUCGGGAGCGCAGAGACAGGUGGUGCAUGGCUGUCGUCAGCUCGUGUCGUGAGAUGUUGGGUUAAGUCCCGCAACGAGCGCAACCCUCGUUUUUAGUUGCCAGCAUUAAGUUGGGCACUCUAGAGAGACUGCCGGUGACAAACCGGAGGAAGGUGAGGAUGACGUCAAGUCAGCAUGCCCCUUACGUCUUGGGCUACACACGUACUACAAUGCUACGGACAGAGGGCAGCAAGCCAGGGAUGGCAAGCGAAUCCAGAAACCGUAGCUCAGUUCAGAUCGAAGGCUGCAACUCGCCUUCGUGAAGGAGGAAUCGCUAGUAAUUGCAGGUCAGCAUACUGCAGUGAAUUCGUUCCCGGGCCUUGUACACACCGCCCGUCACACCAUGGAAGUUGGUCACGCCCGAAGUCAUUACCCCAACCGAAAGGAGGGGGAUGCCUAAGGUAGGACUGGUGACUGGGGUGAAGUCGUAACAAGGUAGCCGUACCGGAAGGUGUGGCUGGAUCACCUCCUUU
RNAcentral lists this ribosomal RNA (1485 nucleotides) under Raphidiopsis curvata NIES-932. RNAcentral's name for it is "bacterial SSU rRNA". It matches the Rfam family "Bacterial small subunit ribosomal RNA". Lineage: Bacteria; Bacillati; Cyanobacteriota; Cyanophyceae; Nostocales; Aphanizomenonaceae. The record is from RNAcentral.